UGGGGAAUAUUGCACAAUGGAGGGAACUCUGAUGCAGCGACGCCGCGUGAACGAAGAAGGCUUUCGCGUCGUAAAGUUCUUUUAUAUGGGAAGAUAAUGACGGUACCAUAAGAAAAAGCCCCGGCUAACUACGUGCCAGCAGCCGCGGUAAUACGUAGGGGGCUAGCGUUGUCCGGAAUCACUGGGCGUAAAGGGUUCGCAGGCGGAAAUGCAAGUCAGGUGUAAAAGGCAGUAGCUUAACUACUGUAAGCAUUUGAAACUGCAUAUCUUGAGAAGAGUAGAGGUAAGUGGAAUUUUUAGUGUAGCGGUGAAAUGCGUAGAUAUUAAAAAGAAUACCGGUGGCGAAGGCGACUUACUGGGCUCAUUCUGACGCGGAGGAACGAAAGCGUGGGUAGCAAACAGG
Molecule: ribosomal RNA, 403 nt
Filed under: bacterium
Lineage: Bacteria
Description: partial 16S ribosomal RNA
Rfam family: Bacterial small subunit ribosomal RNA
Source: RNAcentral